Molecule: Y RNA, 102 nt
Organism: Macaca fascicularis (crab-eating macaque)
Lineage: Eukaryota; Metazoa; Chordata; Mammalia; Primates; Cercopithecidae
Rfam family: Y RNA
About the family: Y RNAs are components of the Ro ribonucleoprotein particle (Ro RNP), in association with Ro60 and La proteins. The Y RNAs and Ro60 and La proteins are well conserved, but the function of the Ro RNP is not known.
Source: Ensembl
GGCUGGUCCCAGUGCAGUGGUGUUUACAACUAAUUGAUCACAACUAGUUACAGAUUUCUUUGUUCCUUCUCCACUCCCACUGCUUUACUUGACUAGACUUAA